Molecule: transfer RNA, 73 nt
Filed under: Hordeum vulgare
Lineage: Eukaryota; Viridiplantae; Streptophyta; Magnoliopsida; Poales; Poaceae
Description: tRNA-OTHER
Source: RNAcentral
UGAGCCGUAGCCCAGUGGUAGCUGUGGGUGUGUGCCUGUUGUGAGGUCGUGGGCUCGAUCCCCCUCGGCACAU